Molecule: non-coding RNA, 2909 nt
Filed under: Pongo abelii (Sumatran orangutan)
Lineage: Eukaryota; Metazoa; Chordata; Mammalia; Primates; Hominidae
Source: RNAcentral
CAGCCUUCAUGAAGAGCCCAUGGCAACUCUGUGGGAAUGCUUCCAGCAGCCCGCUUAUGGCUGGAGACAGAGGUGUGGCUUCUAUCUAAGCUUUUCCCUCUGACUCAGUUCAGGAGGCAACUGUCUUGGGAAGCAAAUGAUAACAGCAUCUGGGAGAUUCUCUUCUGGAUGGACUAGCAGGGAAUCAGGACAUGAACUCAGUGGACUGACUGCACCGAGACUCACCUGGUCAUUACUUGAAGGUCAUUACUUAAACCUCCAUGAAUCUCCUGAUGAACUCCCUCAGAAGGUGGAAGGAGCACCUGACACCGAGCCGAGAUCAGCAGCAGCCACGCCCACGCUGUGGGCAGUUAAGAGGCAGCCAGUGGUACCAGUUGUGAGCAAUCAGAUUUGAGGACUCAGGAUUCUGGUUUCCUGAGUGUCAUGGACCUGCGGGCUGCAGGAAUGACAGCAACAGGUCUCAGGCAGGUGCCACAGCACCCACACACUGCCAGCAUUUUGUGCAAAAUACCCAAAGCCACAUCACCAGAUCUGGGCUCUCCUAGCCUCCUUUUGCUAAAAUGCUGGCCAAAGAGCUUAACGAGCCACUCAGGGGCACAAGAUAGGUGAAACCUGCAUGUUUUGUUUGUUAAACUAUUUGCCACAUGGCACAAGAAAAUAACAAAAAAUAAACAAAAGGAAUAACUGCAGCAUCAUGGUUUUGUUAAGAUGUCCCAAAGCUGAUCAGGGCUUCCUGUUAAAAUCUAAAUGAGACUCUUCCUAGGUGGCUUACGUUCAGUCAGCUGUGGCUCUGUGCAAAGAAAACCAGUUUCCCUUGCUCGGAAAUUUGGAGCCACUGAUAAGAGAAGAAAAGUGUGACUCCACAUGGAGGGUCAUGAUACAAUCUGAUCUCUGACCCCGUGGAGGUGAAGGGGCUUGUUCUGCAUACCAGGCUGAGGACUCUGGGACUGAGGCAUUCAGAGUUGCAGCUUUAAAUCAGAAGGGAGUUCCCUGCCCAUUUCAUCACAAGUCAGCAACAUCCAAAGAGUGGCAUUGAAGAAAAUCUCAUCACCGUGGGCUCAGUUUAGAUUGCUAGUCGGCUCAGAAAGCUACCUGCAAUUGCGUUUCCAGGAUGCAUCACAAAUACUCUCCACAUGAGUGAAAACAUCAGCAGAUGAAACUCAGCAUGCUUAGUGCGGGGCCAAGUCCUCUAACAAAGGACACAGCGGUUAACCUGCAUUGCGAGGACAGGCACUGUGAAGCCCUCAUCAGGGAUCCAUCCAGAGAACUUUGGUAAUUCUUGCAAAAUCCCUGUAUCACACAAUUUCCUUCCUUAAUGUGAUAAAGUGUACAUCUACAGAGCCUCUUCAGCCCUGCAGUGCAUGGAUGAGCAGAAGGCCACAAAGCCAGGUCAUAGCACUCCCUACCAUCAGAAUGGAGCCUGCCUGAAUGUGAGCUCAGUGAGAGGCACAUUCCAUUCUUGGGCCUGUCCACGGUGACUUGCCUGCUCUGCUCCAUCAUCCACUUAUUCACAAGUUCUGGGGCGACAAAGGGCAUGUUUUGUUUCAUCUUGUGCCAGACCCUCGGUGUGCACUCACUCACUCUACCUCAGCUCAAGAACUUCAGGGCUGGGAGUGCAUUUGGAGAGAAGGCAUGUGCAAUAUCUGGAAGCCUUAGCACAGGUGGGUUAUACUGAUGCUCUACAGACAAACUAUAGGAACUUGGGUUCUAAGGCCAGCAGGCGCAGGUGUCACCCCAAUGGCUCCCUUCAACAGCAGCAUAAAUAAGUCAUGUCAGAAGAACUCACAUUAGCCAUCUCCAGGACUCAUUUCCCUCUCAACAGCAGGAGCUCCUGCAGUCAGAACAGUGGUAAUUUUCAAAUCAGGCAUGUGGUGAUGCAGCAGGAAAGUGCCUGCAUCCCAGGUGUCCCAGCAGCUUUCUGGAGACCUCUAAUACCCACAUCUGCACCACAAAACUGCACAGCAUUGACUGAUACCAAUCUUCUUACACAUAUUGGUAAGUGGUAAUAGAAUGCCUCAACAGCAGACAACCCAGGAACCAAAGACAUACUGGAUUUUCAAGUCAGAAGAAUGCUUAGAGAUCAUCUGACCCAAUAGCCGUAUUUUACAGUAAGAUGCAGAAGCCAGUGUCCACAGUGCUAAAGCCAUUGGUCCAAGGUCAAAGAAUUUCAAACCCAUAAAUACCUCCAAGAAGCUUCCACUGGGACCUUAUGAUUUUAGUAAAAUUAUCAACAUUCAUGACCUAUGUCUACUGAUCUUAGUGUCUUCUCAGUAGGCAAUUAUUCUUUCUCACAUCAAUUUGCAGUUGCUAUAUUAUCAGCAUCCUUGGUAAAUUCAUCUUGUGUUCUGGGUGAAGACUAACAGAUUCUUCCUUCUUGGGCUGUGUCAUUCACUCUCAUCCCUCAUAACAUCCGGACACUGCUCUAAACACAGUGGCCUUUGAGAAAUGCUGCUGAAUUCUGACUAAGAAAGAGGAGAACUUUCAAAUACAAGAAAGUGAACAUUAUAGAGCUUACCACUCAAGAUGAUUUUCUACAAAUGCGGACAUGGGGCUGAUCUGCACCGUGUAAGUAUCAUUUGCCGAGUACUCAAAGAGUCCAUAGUAAGGGUUGAAGAGCUCCUGAGACAGAAGGAAGAAGAACUCCCGCGAGGGGCCACUGUAGUCCAGGCUGCAAAGAAAGCAGAGGUCCAGGAAGCUCAUUCUGUGCCCGGAGGUGGGGGGACCUGUUUGCACCCAGAUUCUAGUGUGCCCUUUCAGAGUUGGGUGCUGGGGAAAGCAGAGAGCAGCCUCUGCUCUUUGGAGUGAAUACCAGUGGAAGUAUCAAUUUGCUGUAGAAAAUGAGGAUGCAGUAAUUGGUUUGGAGAUGUUUCUUAACAAGAUGUCCAUGAAUAAACUCUUAUGGCAGCUUU